GAUGAACGCUGGCGGCGUGCCUAAUACAUGCAAGUCGAGCGAACGGACGAGAAGCUUGCUUCUCUGAUGUUAGCGGCGGACGGGUGAGUAACACGUGGAUAACCUACCUAUAAGACUGGGAUAACUUCGGGAAACCGUAGCUAAUACCGGAUAAUAUUGUGAACCGCAUGGUUCAAAAGUGAAAGACGGUCUUGCUGUCACUUAUAGAUGGAUCCGCGCUGCAUUAGCUAGUUGGUAAGGUAACGGCUUACCAAGGCAACGAUGCAUAGCCGACCUGAGAGGGUGAUCGGCCACACUGGAACUGAGACACGGUCCAGACUCCUACGGGAGGCAGCAGUAGGGAAUCUUCCGCAAUGGGCGAAAGCCUGACGGAGCAACGCCGCGUGAGUGAUGAAGGUCUUCGGAUCGUAAAACUCUGUUAUUAGGGAAGAACAUAUGUGUAAGUAACUGUGCACAUCUUGACGGUACCUAAUCAGAAAGCCACGGCUAACUACGUG
RNAcentral lists this ribosomal RNA (497 nucleotides) under uncultured bacterium. Its description in RNAcentral is "partial 16S ribosomal RNA". It matches the Rfam family "Bacterial small subunit ribosomal RNA", at positions 28 to 507 of the family's 1533-position model. The record is from RNAcentral.